GUUAUAUGGUCAAGUGAAGAAGCGCAUACGGUGGAUGCCUUGGCAGUCAGAGGCGAUGAAAGACGUGGUAGCCUGCGAAAAGCUUCGGGGAGUCGGCAAACAGACUUUGAUCCGGAGAUGUCUGAAUGGGGGAACCCAGCCAUCAUAAGAUGGUUAUCUUGUACUGAAUACAUAGGUGCAAGAAGCGAACCAGGGGAACUGAAACAUCUAAGUACCCUGAGGAAAAGAAAUCAACCGAGAUUCCCUUAGUAGUGGCGAGCGAACGGGGACUAGCCCUUAAGUGGCUUUGAGAUUAGCGGAACGCUCUGGAAAGUGCGGCCAUAGUGGGUGAUAGCCCUGUACGCGAAAAUCUCUUAGUCAUGAAAUCGAGUAGGACGGAGCACGAGAAACUUUGUCUGAAUAUGGGGGGACCAUCCUCCAAGGCUAAAUACUACUGACUGACCGAUAGUGAACUAGUACCGUGAGGGAAAGGCGAAAAGAACCCCGGAGAGGGGAGUGAAAUAGAUCCUGAAACCGUAUGCGUACAAGCAGUGGGAGCCCACUUUGUUGGGUGACUGCGUACCUUUUGUAUAAUGGGUCAGCGACUUAUUUUCAGUGGCGAGCUUAACCGAAUAGGGGAGGCGUAGCGAAAGCGAGUCUUAAUAGGGCGUCUAGUCGCUGGGAAUAGACCCGAAACCGGGCGAUCUAUCCAUGGGCAGGUUGAAGGUUGGGUAACACUAACUGGAGGACCGAACCGACUACCGUUGAAAAGUUAGCGGAUGACCUGUGGAUCGGAGUGAAAGGCUAAUCAAGCUCGGAGAUAGCUGGUUCUCCUCGAAAGCUAUUUAGGUAGCGCCUCAUGUAUCACUGUAGGGGGUAGAGCACUGUUUCGGCUAGGGGGUCAUCCCGACUUACCAAACCGAUGCAAACUCCGAAUACCUACAAGUGCCGAGCAUGGGAGACACACGGCGGGUGCUAACGUCCGUCGUGAAAAGGGAAACAACCCAGACCGUCAGCUAAGGUCCCAAAGUUAUGGUUAAGUGGGAAACGAUGUGGGAAGGCUUAGACAGCUAGGAGGUUGGCUUAGAAGCAGCCACCCUUUAAAGAAAGCGUAAUAGCUCACUAGUCGAGUCGGCCUGCGCGGAAGAUGUAACGGGGCUCAAACCAUACACCGAAGCUACGGGUAUCACGUAAGUGAUGCGGUAGAGGAGCGUUCUGUAAGCCUGUGAAGGUGAGUUGAGAAGCUUGCUGGAGGUAUCAGAAGUGCGAAUGCUGACAUGAGUAACGAUAAUGGGUGUGAAAAACACCCACGCCGAAAGACCAAGGUUUCCUGCGCAACGUUAAUCGACGCAGGGUUAGUCGGUCCCUAAGGCGAGGCUGAAAAGCGUAGUCGAUGGAAAACAGGUUAAUAUUCCUGUACUUCUGGUUAUUGCGAUGGAGGGACGGAGAAGGCUAGGCCAGCUUGGCGUUGGUUGUCCAAGUUUAAGGUGGUAGGCUGGAAUCUUAGGUAAAUCCGGGAUUCUAAGGCCGAGAGCUGAUGACGAGUUA
RNAcentral lists this ribosomal RNA (1527 nucleotides) under Pseudomonas fluorescens. Its description in RNAcentral is "partial 23S ribosomal RNA". It matches the Rfam family "Bacterial large subunit ribosomal RNA", at positions 1 to 1576 of the family's 2925-position model. The record is from RNAcentral. Lineage: Bacteria; Pseudomonadati; Pseudomonadota; Gammaproteobacteria; Pseudomonadales; Pseudomonadaceae.